This is a long non-coding RNA of Manis pentadactyla (Chinese pangolin), 3607 nucleotides long. RefSeq lists it as uncharacterized. Lineage: Eukaryota; Metazoa; Chordata; Mammalia; Pholidota; Manidae. The record is from RefSeq and is a predicted model, not a curated record. The transcript is spliced from 3 exons.
UGGGUCUAAUGUAUUGAUGUUGAGAGCCCAUAGCAUCCGAGGGCUAUCUCCCAAGCCUGGAAGAACAGUCCUAGCCCUGGAAAAGAGAACUUCAUAUCAUAACUUUGGGAAAAUAGGAACUGUUGGCAUAAACACUUUUUGACCACAAGGAAGAAGGCUGGAAAUCUUGUUGGCAUUAAUAUCUGAGAUGAGAGGGCACCACCUUCUAGCAAGAGUCUUGUGAGGCGAAGCCGGCUCUGAUGGACUGCUUUGAUGAGGGAAUUUCCAUCACUUGAAAUCUCUACACCUUCAUCCAUCUUCAGAAGUUAGAAUCAAUACCUGGUUAUCAAAGAAGACGAAGAACAAAAGAUUAGCCAGAAUCAAUGGUUCGAUUUAUAUUCAUGUUUUUAUUCAAUUUCUAAAGUGUGUGUACAGGACACAAAUGAGAUUAUGUUAUUAAUAAAUACACAACAAAAUAGUGAAUUGCAAAAAAGAAAUUUUAGGAUAGUAACAACCUUUAGGGAAUUACAAACUACAUUUACUUUCAAAAUGUUCAUUGAGUAUUUAUGAUAUAACAUCAACCUAGUACUUCCCUAAAUCCCAUAUUAAUUAAGCAGUGAUCCACUUAUUUUUUACUUGUGAAAAAUAUUUUAAAAAUAAUACUAAAAUGCAAAUUUAAGCAAAAAAGCCAAAAUUCUGUGUAACAGCAACUGAGUCAAUUAAAAUAUAACAUGUUUACAGUAGUUUAAUGCAAAAACUUCUUGUAUUAAAUUAUUUAAACAUGCUCUAGUUAAAUAAUGCAACUAAUACUAGAUUUUCAAUUUUAUGGGGAAUUUCUGUUUCUUUUAAAGGGUGAAAAGUAUUUGGAUUAUAAGACAUAAAAGUUACUGACAAGAUGUCUGGAAUUCACACUGAGGUAGGAAUGGUAAGCAUGUGAUUAUGUAUUUUUCUUGAUCCCAUUAUUUAAUCAUACACUGACUAGAUUAUGGGGUUAGCAACAUACUGUUCGGUUAAAUUUUGACAGCAGUACAUUUGCUCUGAAAAAGAAGUUUUCUAGGCUAGAAAAGUGAAUGAAGACAUGGAGACUUCAUAAACAUUUCAUUUUUUAUCAUUAAAACUGAAAAUUGUAUAUGUUUAUUUUUUAAAUUUAUAUUCAAACUCCUUCAACAAAUAAUUCUAUUAGUUGAUAAGAAUUUUGAAUUUACUUACCUAGAACUGAGGAAAUAUUUCUUUUAAAAGUCCUUAGUGCUGGGGAGAAAAACAAAUGACAUUUAUAUAAUAUUUAAAUCUGUUUAAUUAGGUGGCUUUUAGAAACUAAGAAGUAUUAUUAAUUAUACUCAUUUUUAAAAUGAAGACUGUGGGACAUGAAUUUCAAUUGGAUAACAGAAUACAUAAUACAUAUAAUGAUCUCUUAACAGAAGAGAAUAGCAGAAAGAAAGUGAAGAAAAAGGGACAAGAUAGACACACACACAGAAAUCGAUUCAAUUGUUAAACAGCUAUAAACUCCUAAAACGUGCUGGACACUGAGCUACAAAGAUACAAGCCCUAGCCCUGAGGAGCUUGCAUAGUUGUUUAGAAGAGAUACUACAGAAACAGCUGGUUAUGAGUUAAAGUCAUGAGAACCUCCAGGCUUAAUGGCAUGGGACUGAAGGGGGGCAUUCAGACGCCAGUCAUUUGAGCUGGGUCUUGAAGACUGCCUAAGAGUUCAGUAGGCAGACGAAGGAAGAGAGUAGAGGACAUUCCUUGUGCAAAGACCUAGAAAGUUAAAUAGCAAAAUUAUUUGUCAUAAAUCAGGCUUUAUUUAUGCCAAUAUACCAAACUUCAGGAAAAUAUUUUAGCAGAUGGUUAUAGUUAGGGUGAACAUGGCAGAACACAAAUAUCUAAUUUUGCCCCUUCCUGAAACCCCCUAAAACUAAAUAAUUUUUAAUAAGACAUAGGCUCACAAAGAUAACAGGAAAAGGAGAGAAGAUGACAGUGACAUUUUGGAAGCCAGAAAGCAGCUGGGCCAGUGGUAACUGACUUGGCCAACCUGCAAAGGCUGUGCCUUGAGUCACUGGUGGGAGAGCUGAGAACUAAGCCCAUGUACACUAUGGACUUCGAGAGAGGCAGCAGCAGGCAGCUCUAGCUCUUGGGGGUGGAGAGUACAGCUAAAGCAACGAGGACUAGGUGAAAAGCUGCUGGAGAAGCAGUUAGAUCCCAAGGUCCUUGCUGCUGGAAGUGUGAACUUACCUGGGACCAGCAGAAGCAGUACGUGAAGCCUGUUAGAAUGCAGCCUAGGCUGCACCCUAGACCUCCUAAAUCACAGCCUACAUUUUAAGUAGAUCCCCACAUUAAAGUGUUAGAGGAACUGCCUCAGGUCAUUCCUUCACUCCAGGCCACUCAUACACAGGAAAAUGUACCUCUCUCUUGAGCAGAUGGCCAGAGGUUUGUGCUCCAGAAAUGGUGGAACAGAGGGUCUCUAGACUGGGAGACACUUUCCAUGUAAAGGACAAGAAUGUGGAGGAAUAAGUGAUUGCAUGUUUCCUGACCACAGAACAAAGGUACUCACAGCCUCCUUCCCCAACUCAGCUCCAAGACAGCUGGUAGAAAUACCCUUGUCCUCAGGAGAAAAUUGCUAUUCUUUUCUCUCAGGAAUUUGACCUGCCCAGGAGAAACUACCCGAGUACUGACCACAGAAUCCCCAACAUGCCAACAGAUCAUCCCGCAGUAAAGCUUAAAGGGAACAAGACUCACUUGAAAAGAGAAAAGAAAAAUAAGCAAAGGGAGUGGUUAAUACAAAAGUCACAAUAAAGUUACUUCUUGGUGGCGGUAGGGAGAACAAUGCAAUUUGGGAUGAACACAGGUUUUUAAGGUUCAGGUUAUGUUCUGUAUCUUAAUCUGGGUGGUGUGUGUAUGGGUGUCCAUUUUAUUCUUAAUACAUAUUUCACAUACUCUUCUGCAGGAUAGUAUUCAUCUAUUUAUUGUAAAAUAGAGCAUAUAUACAGAAAAGGAAGCAUUUAUCUAAGAAAUGUUUCAUAAUUAAAAUUUAAAAGAGCCAUAUUCUUACAUUUUACAACAUAAUUUAGUUUUUGUAGUAUCAUCAAUAGUAUUUGUGCCUAGAAUUUCAAGGAGUUUCAACCAGUAAGCUCCUGAAAGACAGUAUUCAAAAGAAUGUACUUACUCAUUUUCAGUUUAGUAUCAUUCAUGAUGUUACAAAGAACACCUACUCAGAAUAUACAUACAUAAAUACAUGAAAAUGAAUGGUGUGAUUUUUGCCUCUUGUGCAACAUUCUUUAAAAGCUAUUCCAGAGCUAGACAUACCUGCAACUCAAGAAGUUAGUAAUUUAGGAUUGAUUGAUAGCUUGGAUUCCAACUCAGAAGUCUAUUCUGAAUGCAAAACAUUUGGAAAGAGCUCAUCUGAGAAAAUCAUCACAAAAGAAACUGUCUUUUAGCAUUUUUCAUAUACAAACGGGCUUAAUAAAGCAAAGAGAUUUAGACAAUUGAGCUGGAACAUAAUACCAAAUAUAGAAACCACUUAGUAAGUGCAAUUCAGGAAGAGAUACAGCAUCAAUCAUGUAAAAACACCUUUGACCAAAAGUGGCAUUGAGAAACAGAUUUUCAAAUGAGAACAAAUUGCCAGAUACCAGUC